This 478-nucleotide ribosomal RNA is filed under the name uncultured bacterium. RNAcentral's name for it is "partial 16S ribosomal RNA". It matches the Rfam family "Bacterial small subunit ribosomal RNA", at positions 28 to 523 of the family's 1533-position model. The record is from RNAcentral.
GACGAACGCUGGCGGCGUGCUUAACACAUGCAAGUCGAACGGUAAGGCCCUUCGGGGUACACGAGUGGCGAACGGGUGAGUAACACGUGGGUGAUCUGCCCUGCACUUCGGGAUAAGCCUGGGAAACUGGGUCUAAUACCGGAUAGGACCACUGCCUGCAUGGGUGGUGGUGGAAAGCGUUUGCGGUGUGGGAUGGGCCCGCGGCCUAUCAGCUUGUUGGUGGGGUGAUGGCCUACCAAGGCGACGACGGGUAGCCGGCCUGAGAGGGUGACCGGCCACACUGGGACUGAGAUACGGCCCAGACUCCAACGGGAGGCAGCAGUGGGGAAUAUUGCACAAUGGGCGCAAGCCUGAUGCAGCGACGCCGCGUGAGGGAUGACGGCCUUCGGGCUGUAAACCUCUUUCAGCACCGACGAAGCGCAAGUGACGGUAGGUGCAGAAGAAGGACCGGCCAACUACGUGCCAGCCGCCGCGGUAA